GGAUGCGAUCAUACCAUCACUAAAGCACCGGAUCCCAUCAGAACUCCGAAGUUAAGCGUGCUUUGGCGAGAGUAGUACUAGGAUGGGUGACCUCCUGGGAAGUCCUCGUGUUGCAUUUC
RNAcentral lists this ribosomal RNA (119 nucleotides) under Triticum aestivum (bread wheat). The record is from RNAcentral. Lineage: Eukaryota; Viridiplantae; Streptophyta; Magnoliopsida; Poales; Poaceae.